This 493-nucleotide ribosomal RNA is filed under the name Anthericonia anketeschke. RNAcentral describes it as "partial 28S ribosomal RNA". The record is from RNAcentral. Lineage: Eukaryota; Metazoa; Arthropoda; Insecta; Phasmatodea; Pseudophasmatidae.
CCUGAAUUCGAAAGGGGCCGGAUUCAAGUCGAGCCGAAAGUGUCAGGCCGUCACACCGCCAGAUGGCGCCGGUCGCCCGCUGCGAUUCACUUCGCUUGCGGUGUCGUUCCCGGCGUUCACUCGGCAACGUGGCCGGUAUCUACUGGCUUCGGACGAAUGCACUUCCACCCUAGUAGAAACGUCGCGACCCGUUGGGUGCCGGUCUAAGGCCCGGGAUGGCAGACCGCGCGUUCUGGGGGGGCUCCCGCAGGCGCGCGGACUCCUGGUGACCCGGCCGGCUGCCCGACGGUAGGACCAGAGGAGUCGAUCCGCUAAAUGGGAAACACUGUGGUUGUGAAGCGUCCGGCCUGGCGCCGACGCGUGCGGGGAUUGAGGUGCAAACCGGGGGUGCCCGUGCGGAGUCACGGCCCCGGCCCCGUCUCGCGUCGGUUGUCGGUGUCCUCGGACUGGAUCGAUACUCCCGUCUGCGACGCCCAUCUUCGGAUGGUCUCCC